AACGAACGCUGGCGGCAUGCCUAACACAUGCAAGUCGAACGAGAUCUUCGGGUCUAGUGGCGCACGGGUGCGUAACGCGUGGGAAUCUGCCCUUUGGUUCGGAAUAACAGUUGGAAACGACUGCUAAUACCGGAUGAUGACGAAAGUCCAAAGAUUUAUCGCCAGAGGAUGAGCCCGCGUAGGAUUAGCUAGUUGGUGUGGUAAAGGCGCACCAAGGCUACGAUCCUUAGCUGGUCUGAGAGGAUGAUCAGCCACACUGGGACUGGGACACGGCCCAGAAGCCUAUGGGAGGCAGCAGUGGGGAAUAUUGGACAAUGGGCGAAAGCCUGAUCCAGCAAUGCCGCGUGAGUGAUGAAGGCCUUAGGGUUGUAAAGCUCUUUUACCCGGGAUGAUAAUGACAGUACCGGGAGAAUAAGCUCCGGCUAACUCCGUGCCAGCAGCCGCCGUAA
Molecule: ribosomal RNA, 449 nt
Filed under: uncultured bacterium
Lineage: Bacteria
Description: partial 16S ribosomal RNA
Rfam family: Bacterial small subunit ribosomal RNA
Source: RNAcentral